AGAAGGAAGACAUCCUUGGCUUCAGGGAGAGCUAUAACAUCUCCAGCACUGAGAUGCAGUGAAUUAAUGAGCCCUCCUUGGAAGUGAAAAAAACACAUGAAACAAAGUUCCCUUUACUGUCCUGUCUUCAAGCCAGCUUGAGCUUCCCAGAGUAAGACUCUAAAAGCUCUCUCCCUCUGGAGACAAACUUCGUGGUUCAAGACUGAGUGCAGAAAUGAAGCAACCUGCCUGACACCACUGGCUCCCUGCUGAAUUUCCACAUGCGUGCUUGACAAGCCAUGUUCUGGUCAGGCAGAAAUUGCUCUGGGCACCAAACGUAGCCACUUACUGAGGAUAUCCCUGUAGUGGUGAGUGAAGGAUGAAAAGGGGAAAAGGCUCAGUGUGAAAAGUUACCUUUCCUAGAUGAAAAGGAAGGCAAAGAGAAGUUAAGCACAGUUACAGGCUUCUGUUAAUUAAACAGUGGCAAUGAAUAUCUGCUUCAGCAUCAAUAAACCAUGAGAUAUUUGCUAAGAGCCUUGUUGAGUAACUUCAGAAGUUUCUGCCAAACCUUGUAAGGUCUGUUUGGUUUGAAAUGACUUGUGAUGUGUCUGCCUGUCACAUAGACAAACGUCCCUUCAAGUAUGUGAGCUGUCUUUCCCAUGAGUCAGUUGUUGAAGAACACUGUAGACAGCCAGCUGGUGACAAUUCAGCCUGUGUUUAAAAAGUGGGUGAACAUUUGUUGAAAAUCCCAGGUAUUUGUUUUGGUGCUGCAGUGUUAGUCAAUGUGAGGUCUGUGAGAUACCAUCACGUAGGCUGCAGAUAUGUACCUGCCCUUAAAUGCAGCCAGUCUGCAAGAGGGAAAAUGCAAUAACUGAGUAUUUUAGGUUUAACUUGACACUUAGAUGUUUGCAAAUGAUGCAGAUGGGGAACCAAGAUACAAGACAGCUCCAUUUUUUAUUUUUAUUUUUUCAGAAUUGCCUGGUGGUUGCUGGAUUAAAAAUUGCUGAGAACCUUGUGCUUGUGAGUUGUGACCAACUGAGUGUUGUCCAUCUUUCACCCUGCUCAAAGCACAUGCUGGCUUUCUGAAUCCUGGCCUUGAAAUGGAGAGCUAAGGGAUCUGUCACUGUGUCUUGCUUGGCUUGACCCAGGGAGCAGUUUAGCCUUUUCCUAACAUGGCUGUUUCUAGAGUUUGCAUGACUCUGUGUAGCUGGACUAUGUUCUUCUUCUCCUGGUUUCUUUUUAUCGAAGUCUUUCUCAUUUGAUUUUUUUUUUUUUUUUUUUAUUAGAUGAGGUUUACAAGAAGGAAUUGACAUUAUAUUUCAAGGUUUGCUUCUGCUGUUGCAUUGGCCCACUGAUACCAUAUCCUCUGGGGUCAAACCUCUGGGCUAAGAGCCAGAACUUACAAAGAUUCUUUUGCAGGGUGUAGGAGUAUUUUGUCAUGUCACCCCCUCUGAGUUCACCCUCUCCCUCUUGUGCUGCUUGUUCCUUAUUUCACACUCCACCCCUACACCAUGGUAGAAGUGGCUGUUUUAGCCCUGAUUUUGAUACUUCUGCUCAGUCAUCUGCUUAGGAGGCAUUGAUGAUACUACAUGCAGCUUAAUCUCCUGCUGACUCAUUUUUGAGUUGCUGUAUGCCAUUAAGCCAUCUUUGAAUCUCACUGUGUCACAGCGGUAUACACAAGGAGUAAAUCCACUGAAGUCAGUCAAGUAACUAACACUAGCAUGAAACUGGAAUGACCAGAGAAUCAUGUCUCCUUUCUUGUAGCUUAUGUAUAGCAGAGAGGAGUGAAAGCCUCAAGUGAGCACAAACAAUUUAGAAAUUUGAUUUGCCUACCAAAGAGACUGGCCAAGGGUGCUGAGAAUGAUUUCAGAGACCACAAGCUGAUUUGAACUGGGUCGCUGGAGCUGCACAAACAUAGUGCGCAUUAUGCAUAAACUCGCUGAGCACUGAACCGGGACGUGCAGAAAUGUGCUUGUUUCACCUGGUUGGCUGGCCCUCUGAGGAGGGACUACGCUUUGUAGGCUGGAGUGAAGAGCAGAGGAGGCUGCUGAUACAAUUAAAUUACACCCUGUUUAUCUGUGAUUUAGGAGCAGUUACAGAAAGCCCAUCUGAAUUCACUUAAGACUUGUUAAUGCUGUGUUUAGAAUACAAUGGUUGGUGGGGACCAAAAGUUUGAAGCACAGAAAAGCAGCUCAGAAGAAAAAGCUGCCUGGACACAAGUGUACCGGUGUGCUCAAACACAUCACAUUCUUGUGCCUCCUCUACCUCACUUGUGGGAAAGAAAAAUAACAGUAGCUUUUAUUAGAAGCUGUUGAUUGUGGUCUCCUUCAGUGCAUUUCUGAAUCAUAACCUUGCAGAAAGCAUACCUCACCCAGCAGGAAUUUAGCAAAUCCAAUAACAGGCUUAUGAUGCUGGGUCUGAGAUCUUGCAGCUCAGCAAACUGUCGCCUGGCCAGCAGGCAGAGGGCUGCUCUCGUUCAUACUGAGAGCUGUGGUAUUGGUGUGGAAAGCUUGUGGAAGAACUUGGCAUUGUGUGCAGUUUCUAUGUGAAGUAUCUUGUCACAGAGGAGUUUGUAGAUAUAGAAACGUGGACUUAGAGCAGUUGAGGUGACCAAAUCAACCUUCCCCCACCACCACCUCAAAAAAAACCCUCCAAAACUUGGUCAGUGGCCACUGCAAUUUUCCUCAUGCUGUGUUUGUCACUCUUGCAGACUCAAUUUUUGACUGCUUCCUUGGUAGUUGUCCUCCUCUCUGAUUUUAAUCCAGCAACAAUGCUAAAAUGACGAUUUCUGUCUUUGCAAUCCUCCACUACUUUGCCAUCUAAGCAUUGAGGUUACAACAGUUGUUAAAUGUGCCAUGAGCAAAACCUGCUAAGAACACCAUGAUGAGACUGAGAGUAGACUUAUAGUGAUUUGAAUUAUUCUCUCAAGUUUUAUUUAGUGUUGUGUUUGUGGCAGUAGGUAUUUUAGCUGCCACAGAUGUGCAGUAAUAUUCUUAGUCCCAUGACUGCCCUUUCUUGUGAUGUUGCAGUUCAUUAAAAAUAAAAAGGA
This is a long non-coding RNA of Oxyura jamaicensis (ruddy duck), 3028 nucleotides long. RefSeq lists it as uncharacterized. The record is from RefSeq and is a predicted model, not a curated record. The transcript is spliced from 2 exons. Lineage: Eukaryota; Metazoa; Chordata; Aves; Anseriformes; Anatidae.